RNAcentral lists this long non-coding RNA (199 nucleotides) under Elaeis guineensis (African oil palm). RNAcentral describes it as "long non-coding RNA (EGUI_LNC038475)". Lineage: Eukaryota; Viridiplantae; Streptophyta; Magnoliopsida; Arecales; Arecaceae. The record is from RNAcentral.
UAGCUAUUCCAUUAUACUUUGUCUUUAUUAACUUUUGGAUGGAUUCAUCGGAUAAUUUUGAAAUUUUUUCUUUAUAUUUUUCAAUGUAACAUCAUGAUUAUCCAUUGGUAGCUUGAUGAACUUUAAUGAUACUUUUAUUAAGUUAUCUACUGGAAUGAGGUUAGCUUUUGAGAAGAUGUUACCUAGCUAGAUAACCCAA